RNAcentral lists this long non-coding RNA (226 nucleotides) under Mytilus galloprovincialis (Mediterranean mussel). The record is from RNAcentral. Lineage: Eukaryota; Metazoa; Mollusca; Bivalvia; Mytilida; Mytilidae.
AUUAUAUAAAUCAAAUCAUAAAGGUUAUUCUGAUUAAUUUUUCGAAUUAUUUUAUAAUUAAAGGCGUUAAGAAACCUUUGGUGACCCCACAGUUUAAAUGUCUAUCGUAGGUACGUCGUGAACAGUGGUUGUUACAGACAAACGUUCACGUAAAUUGUCUCAGUCAAUGGAUGAAUUUAAUGUGUCAAUCAAUGGCCACAGCCACACUGUUUUGAAUUUCAUUCUA